This 497-nucleotide ribosomal RNA is filed under the name uncultured bacterium. RNAcentral describes it as "partial 16S ribosomal RNA". It matches the Rfam family "Bacterial small subunit ribosomal RNA", at positions 28 to 507 of the family's 1533-position model. The record is from RNAcentral.
GAUGAACGCUGGCGGCGUGCCUAAUACAUGCAAGUCGAGCGAACAGACGAGGAGCUUGCUCCUCUGACGUUAGCGGCGGACGGGUGAGUAACACGUGGAUAACCUACCUAUAAGACUGGGAUAACUUCGGGAAACCGGAGCUAAUACCGGAUAAUAUAUUGAACCGCAUGGUUCAAUAGUGAAAGACGGUUUUGCUGUCACUUAUAGAUGGAUCCGCGCCGCAUUAGCUAGUUGGUAAGGUAACGGCUUACCAAGGCAACGAUGCGUAGCCGACCUGAGAGGGUGAUCGGCCACACUGGCACUGAGACACGGUCCAGACUCCUACGGGAGGCAGCAGUAGGGAAUCUUCCGCAAUGGGCGAAAGCCUGACGGAGCAACGCCGCGUGAGGGAUGAAGGUCUUCGGAUCGUAAAACUCUGUUAUUAGGGAAGAACAAAUGUGUAAGUAACUAUGCACGUCUUGACGGUACCUAAUCAGAAAGCCACGGCUAACUACGUG